This 301-nucleotide ribosomal RNA is filed under the name uncultured bacterium. RNAcentral's name for it is "partial 16S ribosomal RNA". It matches the Rfam family "Bacterial small subunit ribosomal RNA", at positions 509 to 809 of the family's 1533-position model. The record is from RNAcentral.
CAGCCGCCACGGUAAUACGUAGGUGGCAAGCGUUGUCCGGAAUUAUUGGGCGUAAAGGGCUCGCAGGCGGUUUCUUAAGUCUGAUGUGAAAGCCCCCGGCUCAACCGGGGAAGGUCAUUGGAACCUGGGAAACUUGAGUGCAGAGGAGGAGAGUGGAAUUCCACGUGUAGCGGUGAAAUGCGUAGAGAUGUGGAGGAACACCAGUGGCGAAGGCGACUCUCUGGUCUGUAACUGACGCUGAGGAGCGAAAGCGUGGGGAGCGAACAGGAUUAGAUACCCCCGUAGUCCCUGUCUCUUAUAA